Molecule: long non-coding RNA, 623 nt
Organism: Thunnus maccoyii (southern bluefin tuna)
Lineage: Eukaryota; Metazoa; Chordata; Actinopteri; Scombriformes; Scombridae
Exons: 3
Source: RefSeq, a predicted model, not a curated record
GUAACAAAACACAAGGAGAAAACAUUUCAAAAUAAAACAAGUAAUCAGACAACAGGUGACACAACACACGAGCAGACUGGGAGCUGAUAAACUGGGGAGGACACUAUGAGCAGGGCCGGGCUAACGAGGGUGAUGCAGGGCAGGCAGUGUUCGACGGAAAUAGUGUCCUAAUGAAUGUAGUUGCCAAAUUCCCCGGGUCUGUGCAUGACAGCUACAUCUUCAGGAACAGCAGUGUCCACAGAAUGGUGCAGAACAUGGAUGACAACUGCUGGUUAAUGAGUGACGGCGGCUACCAACUGCAACCAUGAACGAUGAAUCCAGCGCGCAAUCCAUCAACGGACAAGGAAGAGGCUUACAACCGGGCAAACAUCAGGACACGUGGUGUGACUGAGCGCACCUUUGGCAUCCUGAAAAGCUGAUUCAGAUGCCUGGAUCGUAGCGGUGGGGCAAUGAUGUACAGUCCCCCCAUGGUAUGCCAGAUCUGCUACAUCUUCCAUAACGUAACCAUGAGAGCCAGUCUGCGUCUUGAGGAGCACGAGGAUGAGCCUGAAGAAGAGGAGCCACCUUGCCAGAUGUGCGAGCAGAUGAGGGCAGGCAUGUCAGAGAAAACAUCAUUAAACAUU